Molecule: ribosomal RNA, 483 nt
Filed under: uncultured bacterium
Lineage: Bacteria
Description: partial 16S ribosomal RNA
Rfam family: Bacterial small subunit ribosomal RNA
Source: RNAcentral
ACUCAAAGGAAUUGACGGGGGCCCGCACAAGCGGCGGAGCGUGCGGUUUAAUUCGACGCAACGCGCAAAACCUUACCGAGGCUUGACAUGUGGCUGCAGACGUGGGAAACCACGGGGCCUUCGAGGGUGCCACACAGGUGCUGCAUGGCUGUCGUCAGCUCGUGCCGUGAGGUGUUGGGUUAAGUCCCGCAACGAGCGCAACCCCCGCGUCUAGUUGAAUUGAUCUAGACGGACUGCCGGCCGCAAACCGGAGGAAGGUGGGGAUGAUGUCAAGUCAGCAUGGCCCUUACGCCUCGGGCCACACGCACGCUACAAUGGCCGGGACAGUGGGUAGCCAAGCCGCGAGGCGGAGCGAAUCCCCCAAACCCGGUCUCAGUUCGGAUCGCGGGCUGCAACUCGCCCGCGUGAAGUCGGAGUCGCUAGUAACCGCAGGUCAGCAUUACUGCGGUGAAUAUGUUCCCGGGCCUUGCACACACCGCCCGU